Molecule: long non-coding RNA, 669 nt
Organism: Ipomoea triloba (trilobed morning glory)
Lineage: Eukaryota; Viridiplantae; Streptophyta; Magnoliopsida; Solanales; Convolvulaceae
Exons: 4
Source: RefSeq, a predicted model, not a curated record
GGCAUUCAUCUCAUUUGCGCCUCACGCCUCUCGCUCCUCACCUCACCCUGUUAUCCAGACACCAUCUCCGCCUCACCUCAAACCUCUCAUCCAGACACCACCGCCGAAGUCUCUUUGUCUCCGACACUCUGCCUCUCACCCCUCUGGUGUUCUGACCCUCUCAGCCACUCCGAUCCGGCUCCGCCACUUCACCCUUUUCGCGAGACAGUGACUUCGACUCCUUCUCAGGUUCUCACCGUCGACUCUUGCCUACCGGAAACCCUAGAUCCAGGGAUAUGCCCUUAGCUUCUUCAGUGACUAGCCAUGAAAAUCUAACAGGAGUGACACGGUGAAAUGAGAAUGUAUGGUCCUGCGGUUUUUAAGACAUCAUUUGGGAGAUAAGCAAAUAUGAAAUUCAAUGAUGGAACUAAUACCUAUAGAGGAUCGAACUACAAUAUAUAUAUCGAUAGAUAGAUGAUUCACUCAAGUUGCCAAGCAUCUGCAUUUUCACCUAUUAAAUUUCAAUUUUAUGUGUUAUCGUUAUUGAUGUUUCAUGUUCUUAAUAACAAAAUAUUAUAUUUGUAAAUUGUUGUAAUUUUAUUAAAGUUGAUGGGUUGUAAUAAUUACUUUAUUUUGAAAUUAUGAUUUUACAAAAUUGUAAUCCAUUUAGCUACUCAAACUCUUAGAUUU